Non-coding RNA from Zonotrichia albicollis (white-throated sparrow), 459 nucleotides. The record is from RefSeq and is a predicted model, not a curated record. Lineage: Eukaryota; Metazoa; Chordata; Aves; Passeriformes; Passerellidae.
ACUGUAUGAAUUCAGCGAGGUGAUGAAGCUUCCUUCGGAAAUUGUGCUUUACACCUUGUUAAAGGCGUUUGGUUUCCUUUCAAAUUCUAAAUUCUUCACAUUCUGCAAAUGAGGACACUGUGUUCUGUCAGCAACUGCCAACCAGUUUGCAGUGGGAGCCUCUCCCUCCUGAUCCCAAAUGAGCAUCAGCACCAUCACUGCCUCCUUGCCAGCCCUGGUGUUCUUGGGAAAGAAGAAUGGAUGCAGGACAUCGGUCCCUGAUGAGGGGGCACAUCCCUGCACCCAACAGCACGGGAUGGACUGGACAGCAGGGAGGUGCCUCAGUUUCCCUCCAGGAACACCAGGAACCUGCUGGUCCAGGGACACCCACAGCCCAGCUGAAGGGGCCGAGGCAUUUACAGAGCUUUUUAACCAACAAAACAUGGAAACCACAACCAAAGCCCCCAGGUGGAGGGAAGG